UGGGGAAUAUUGCACAAUGGGCGCAAGCCUGAUGCAGCCAUGCCGCGUGUAUGAAGAAGGCCUUCGGGUUGUAAAGUACUUUCAGUCGGGAGGAAGGUGGUAAGGUUAAUAACCUUAUCAAUUGACGUUACCGACAGAAGAAGCACCGGCUAACUCCGUGCCAGCAGCCGCGGUAAUACGGAGGGUGCAAGCGUUAAUCGGAAUUACUGGGCGUAAAGCGCACGCAGGCGGUUGAUUGAGUCAGAUGUGAAAUCCCCGGGCUUAACCCGGGAAUUGCAUCUGAUACUGGUCAGCUAGAGUAUUGUAGAGGGGGGUAGAAUUCCAUGUGUAGCGGUGAAAUGCGUAGAGAUGUGGAGGAAUACCGGUGGCGAAGGCGGCUCUCUGGUCUGUAACUGACGCUGAGGCUCGAAAGCGUGGGGAGCAAACAGG
RNAcentral lists this ribosomal RNA (429 nucleotides) under Chloroflexota bacterium. RNAcentral describes it as "Chloroflexi bacterium partial 16S ribosomal RNA". It matches the Rfam family "Bacterial small subunit ribosomal RNA", at positions 355 to 776 of the family's 1533-position model. Lineage: Bacteria; Bacillati; Chloroflexota. The record is from RNAcentral.